RNAcentral lists this unclassified non-coding RNA (483 nucleotides) under Hevea brasiliensis (rubber tree). Lineage: Eukaryota; Viridiplantae; Streptophyta; Magnoliopsida; Malpighiales; Euphorbiaceae. The record is from RNAcentral.
UACCUAUGUCAUCUAGGUAUUUUAUUAAGGAGCUUAUAGUUAUUGAUAUUUAUAUUUGAGAACUAACAGAAUUUCAAAGCUUAGUCCUUUUCCCCUCUGAGUGUUCUUUGUGGUUCUACAUUGCCCUUUUUGUGCGAGAGGUAAUCAUAGCAAAGGACAACAAAUAGACUCAACAAACAAUGACAGGGAAACAACAGUGAAACCCAACUAUUGUCAAGCAUCAAGUGUCCUUUACAAUUGGCAGAAUACUCCAUCAAGCAAUAGGCUCAACAAAGAACGAAGGGGAAACAACAAUUGAGCAUUGGGUCGGUGGGUCCACGCCUCAACCAAAUGCAACAAGCAAAAUUAUAUCAAGAUCCUCAACUACCUAAAUACUCCAAUUCCCUGCAAGAGCCCACUGGCAGGAAACAAAAUGGAGAAAUGAACCAAAAAUUCCCUAGAUAUGAAUAAAGAAAAUAAAAUUCAAUGGAGGGCUCAAUGCAG